GCCUUCAGCCAGAAUGCUGGCUUUAUUUUUGCGGUUUAUGAGCUUGAGACAGGGAAUUCAUUUCCUUGGUAUAAUAUGACCCUCUGGAGAAAGUCUUGUCCAGAUAUAUUUUGCUCCCAAACGCCGCCCUAGAAGAAGGACUACACUGAAAUGAAACGGAGAUGAUUAAAGUCUGAUUUAUAGGCUGUACAAGCCCUGAAAGCAAGAACGGGGUUCACGGCAUCUUGAUACCCCCAUGUGGGGACGUUUUGGCGAUUUUAUUUACAAGAAAGGGAUUUUACACCGGAGAGGCUUUUAAAUAUGCUAACAGACUGGACCAGCUUUCUCAUCCCCACUGGCUGAUUAAUGAUUCCUCCAUGCCAACCCGGUUCUCAGAGACACCAAGGCCAGCUCUCCAAAGACCUGGGAAAAAAUUACUUCAUGUCCUUGUAAAAACGUUUUCACAAAUUUAAGUGCACCAGCUUUGAAGCAAGACAGAAUUGGGAUCAAGUCCCUGUUCCACCCUUACCAGAAAGUCUUUUCGUAGCUCACAAGGGGACAUCAAAGAUGACAAAGAGGAGUGGAAGAAGACAGAGAGAAUCAAUGUGAGGAGCCUGGAACAGGGCUCUGAAUUGUCUUCCCACAGUGAAAUCACUUGUCUAUUGCUGAGCCAAGAAUUUGACUCUGAGCAUCUAGGAUGAGAAAGAAGAACUGGCACCUACGCCAUCUCUGCCCCUCGGGACUGACUAUUUUG
Molecule: long non-coding RNA, 733 nt
Filed under: Homo sapiens (human)
Lineage: Eukaryota; Metazoa; Chordata; Mammalia; Primates; Hominidae
Description: non-protein coding lnc-UBLCP1-2:10
Source: RNAcentral